UGGUAUAGCCAUAUCACCCUGUAGCCCAAGACUGGUUGCCCACUGAAGCUAAGUAGGGCUGAGCCUGGUCAGUACCUGGAUGGGAGACCUCCUGGGAAAACUAGGUUGCUGCUGG
This 115-nucleotide ribosomal RNA is filed under the name Sinocyclocheilus rhinocerous. The record is from RNAcentral. Lineage: Eukaryota; Metazoa; Chordata; Actinopteri; Cypriniformes; Cyprinidae.